This 253-nucleotide ribosomal RNA is filed under the name uncultured bacterium. RNAcentral's name for it is "partial 16S ribosomal RNA". It matches the Rfam family "Bacterial small subunit ribosomal RNA", at positions 524 to 776 of the family's 1533-position model. The record is from RNAcentral.
UACAGAGGGUGCGAGCGUUAAUCGGAAUUACUGGGCGUAAAGGGCGCGUAGGCGGUUAUGUGAGUGUGAUGUGAAAGCCCUGGGCUUAACCUAGGAAGUGCAUCGCAAACGACAUAACUGGAGUAUAAGAGAGGGUGGCGGAAUUUCCGGUGUAGCGGUGAAAUGCGUAGAGAUCGGAAGGAACGUCAAUGGCGAAGGCAGCCACCUGGCUUAAUACUGACGCUGAAGCGCGAAAGCGUGGGGAGCGAACAGG